AAUCCAUAGGUUAAUGAGGCGAACCGGGGGAACUGAAACAUCUAAGUACCCCGAGGAAAAGAAAUCAACCGAGAUUCCCCCAGUAGCGGCGAGCGAACGGGGAGGAGCCCAGAGCCUGAAUCAGCAUGUGUGUUAGUGGAAGCGUCUGGAAAGGCGCGCGAUACAGGGUGAGAGCCCCGUACACAAAAGCGCAUAUGCUGUGAGCUCGAUGAGUAGGGCGGGACACGUGGUAUCCUGUCUGAAUAUGGGGGGACCAUCCUCCAAGGCUAAAUACUCCUGACUGACCGAUAGUGAACCAGUACCGUGAGGGAAAGGCGAAAAGAACCCCGGCGAGGGGAGUGAAACAGAACCUGAAACCGUGUACGUACAAGCAGUGGGAGCCCCACCACUAAGCCAGUGGUGAACUCCACAUACGCAUCCUUUGCGGAAGAUGCGGUUAACGGAGCGAAAGCGACGUUCAACCUCAGAAGAAGCAGAGGGGGCUUAGUGGUGGGGUGACUGCGUACCUUUUGUAUAAUGGGUCAGCGACUUAUAUUCUGUAGCAAGGUUAACCGCAUAGGGGAGCCGAAGGGAAACCGAGUCUUAACCGGGCGUUAAGUUGCAGGGUAUAGACCCGAAACCCGGUGAUCUAGCCAUGGGCAGGUUGAAGGUUGGGUAACACUAACUGGAGGACCGAACCGACUAAUGUUGAAAAAUUAGCGGAUGACCUGUGGCUGGGGGUGAAAGGCCAAUCAAACCGGGAGAUAGCUGGUUCUCCCCGAAAGCUAUUUAGGUAGCGCCUCGUGAACUCAUCUCCGGGGGUAGAGCACUGUUUCGGCUAGGGGGCCAUCCCGGCUUACCAAUCCGAUGCAAACUGCGAAUACCGGAGAAUGUUAUUACGGGAGACACACGGCGGGUGCUAACGUCCGUCGUGAAGAGGGAAACAACCCAGACCGCCAGCUAAGGUCCCAAAGUCAUGGUUAAGUGGGAAACGAUGUGGGAAGGCCCAGACAGCCAGGAUGUUGGCUUAGAAGCAGCCAUCAUUUAAAGAAAGCGUAAUAGCUCACUGGUCGAGUCGGCCUGCGCGGAAGAUGUAACGGGGCUAAACCAUGCACCGAAGCUGCGGCAGCGACACUGUGUGUUGUUGGGUAGGGGAGCGUUCUGUAAGCCGUUGAAGGUGUGUCGUGAGGCAUGCUGGAGGUAUCAGAAGUGCGAAUGCUGACAUAAGUAACGAUAAAGCGGGUGAAAAGCCCGCUCGCCGGAAGACCAAGGGUUCCUGUCCAACGUUAAUCGGGGCAGGGUGAGUCGACCCCUAAGGCGAGGCCGAAAGGCGUAGUCGAUGGGAAACGGGUUAAUAUUCCCGUACUUGGUGUUACUGCGAAGGGGGGACGGAGAAGGCUAUGUUGGCCGGGCGACGGUAGUCCCGGUUUAAGCGUGUAGGUGUGUGUUCCAGGUAAAUCCGGUUCACUUUAAC
RNAcentral lists this ribosomal RNA (1453 nucleotides) under Salmonella enterica. RNAcentral's name for it is "partial 23S ribosomal RNA". It matches the Rfam family "Bacterial large subunit ribosomal RNA", at positions 161 to 1556 of the family's 2925-position model. The record is from RNAcentral. Lineage: Bacteria; Pseudomonadati; Pseudomonadota; Gammaproteobacteria; Enterobacterales; Enterobacteriaceae.